UACGUAGGUGGCGAGCGUUGUCCGGAAUUACUGGGCGUAAAGGGAGCGUAGGUUGCGAUUUAAGUUAGAUGUGAAAGCCCGUGGCUCAACUACGGAACUGCAUUUAAAACUGGAUUGCUAGAGUACAGGAGGGGUGAGCGGAAUUCCUAGUGUAGCGGUGGAAUGCGUAGAUAUUAGGAAGAACACCGGAGGCGAAGGCGGCUCACUGGACUGCAACUGACACUGAGGCUCGAAAGCGUGGGGAGCAAACAGG
This 253-nucleotide ribosomal RNA is filed under the name uncultured bacterium. RNAcentral's name for it is "partial 16S ribosomal RNA". It matches the Rfam family "Bacterial small subunit ribosomal RNA", at positions 524 to 776 of the family's 1533-position model. The record is from RNAcentral.